RNAcentral lists this ribosomal RNA (560 nucleotides) under uncultured bacterium. RNAcentral describes it as "bacterial SSU rRNA". It matches the Rfam family "Bacterial small subunit ribosomal RNA", at positions 338 to 916 of the family's 1533-position model. The record is from RNAcentral.
CCUACGGGAGGCAGCAGUGGGGAAUAUUGGACAAUGGGCGCAAGCCUGAUCCAGCAAUGCCGCGUGAGUGAUGAAGGCCUUAGGGUCGUAAAGCUCUUUUACCAGGGAUGAUAAUGACAGUACCUGGAGAAUAAGCUCCGGCUAACUCCGUGCCAGCAGCCGCGGUAAUACGGAGGGAGCUAGCGUUGUUCGGAAUUACUGGGCGUAAAGCGUACGUAGGCGGUUAUUCAAGUCAGAGGUGAAAGCCCGGGGCUCAACCCCGGAACGGCCUUUGAAACUAGGUAGCUAGAAUCUUGGAGAGGUCAGUGGAAUUCCGAGUGUAGAGGUGAAAUUCGCAGAUAUUCGGAAGAACACCAGUGGCGAAGGCGACUGACUGGACAAGUAUUGACGCUGAGGUACGAAAGCGUGGGGAGCAAACAGGAUUAGAUACCCUGGUAGUCCACGCCGUAAACGAUGAUAACUAGCUGUCCGGGCACUUGGUGCCUGGGUGGCGCAGCUAACGCAUUAAGUUAUCCGCCUGGGGAGUACGGUCGCAAGAUUAAACUUAAAUGAAUUGACGG